RNAcentral lists this ribosomal RNA (413 nucleotides) under uncultured Lactobacillus sp. RNAcentral describes it as "bacterial SSU rRNA". It matches the Rfam family "Bacterial small subunit ribosomal RNA", at positions 133 to 525 of the family's 1533-position model. Lineage: Bacteria; Bacillati; Bacillota; Bacilli; Lactobacillales; Lactobacillaceae. The record is from RNAcentral.
CUAGUCUGGGAUACCACUUGGAAACAGAUGCUAAUACCGGAUAAAAAGCUACUUUCGCAUGAAAGAAGUUUAAAAAAAGGACGGCGUAAAGCUGUCGCUAAAGGAUGGACCUGCGAUGCAUUAGCUAGUUGGUAAGGUAACGGCUUACCAAGGCGAUGAUGCAUAGCCGAGUUGAGAGACUGAUCGGCCACAUUGGGACUGAGACACGGCCCAAACUCCUACGGGAGGCAGCAGUAGGGAAUCUUCCACAAUGGACGCAAGUCUGAUGGAGCAACGCCGCGUGAGUGAAGAAGGUUUUCGGAUCGUAAAGCUCUGUUGUUGGUGAAGAAGGAUAGAGGUAGUAACUGGCCUUUAUUUGACGGUAAUCAACCAGAAAGUCACGGGCUAACUACGUGCCAGCAGCCGCGGUAAAU